AAUGAACGCAGGUGGCGUGCUUUAUACAUGCAAGUCGAGCGGAAAUUAGUUUGCAGUGGAGAAUGAUUAAUUUGCACUUUGUGCAAAUUAUGAGUUUUCUACUACGACUAGUUUUAGCGGCGAACGGGUGAGUAACGCGUGAAUAAUCUGCCCUUGAGACUGGAAUAAUAUCCUGAAAAGGAUACUAAUACCGGAAAAGUUAUGGGGUGCAAAUCUCAUAACCAAAGUUGGACUUUUUAGCCCUUCGCUCAAGGAUGAGUUCGCGUCCUAUUAGCUAGUUGGUGAGGUAAAGGCUUACCAAGGCAAUGAUGGGUAGCCGGCCUGAGAGGGCGUACGGCCACACUGGGACUGAGACACGGCCCAGACUCCUACGGGAGGCAGCAGUAGGGAAUUUUCCGCAAUGGGCGAAAGCCUGACGGAGCGACGCCACGUGGAUGACGAAGGCCUUCGGGUCGUAAAAUCCUGUCAGGGGGGACGAUGGUUGAUCUUCGGAUUGAUUGACGGUACCCCCAGAGGAAGCUCCGGCCAACUACGUGCCAGCAGCCGCGGUAAUACGUAGGGAGCAAGCGUUGUUCGGAUUUACUGGGCGUAAAGAGUGCGUAGGUGGCUAUAUAAGUCAGUGGUGAAAUCUCUAUUUUCAAGGUAGAAAUUGCCAUUGAUACUGUAUGGCUAGAGGGCAAGAGAGGGAAAUGGAACUCUGGGAGUAGCGGUGAAAUGCGUAGAUAUCCAGAGGAACGCCGGUAGCGAAGGCGAUUUCCUGGCUUGCUUCUGACACUGAGGCACGAAAGCUAGGGGAGCGAUCGGGCUUAGAUAUCCCGGUAGUCCUAGCCGUAAACGAUGGGUACUAAGUGUGGGAGGAGAAUUACCUUCUGUGCUGAAGCUAACGCGUUAAGUACCCCGCCUGGGGAGACGGUCGCAAGGCU
RNAcentral lists this ribosomal RNA (923 nucleotides) under uncultured Chloroflexota bacterium. Its description in RNAcentral is "bacterial SSU rRNA". It matches the Rfam family "Bacterial small subunit ribosomal RNA", at positions 28 to 895 of the family's 1533-position model. Lineage: Bacteria; Bacillati; Chloroflexota. The record is from RNAcentral.